RNAcentral lists this ribosomal RNA (474 nucleotides) under uncultured bacterium. Its description in RNAcentral is "partial 16S ribosomal RNA". It matches the Rfam family "Bacterial small subunit ribosomal RNA", at positions 29 to 523 of the family's 1533-position model. The record is from RNAcentral.
AACGAACGCUGGCGGCGUGGAUAAGACAUGCAAGUCGAACGAGAGAAUUGCUAGCUUGCUAAUAAUUCUCUAGUGGCGCACGGGUGAGUAACACGUGAGUAACCUGCCCCCGAGAGCGGGAUAGCCCUGGGAAACUGGGAUUAAUACCGCAUAGUAUCGAAAGAUUAAAGCAGCAAUGCGCUUGGGGAUGGGCUCGCGGCCUAUUAGUUAGUUGGUGAGGUAACGGCUCACCAAGGCGAUGACGGGUAGCCGGUCUGAGAGGAUGUCCGGCCACACGGGCACUGGUACACGGUCCGGACACCUGCGGGUAGCAGCAGUCAAGAAUCAUUCACAAUGGGGGAAACCCUGAUGGUGCGACGCCGCGUGGGGGAAUGAAGGUCUUCGGAUUGUAAACCCCUGUCAUGUGGGAGCAAAUUAAAAAGAUAGUACCACAAGAGGAAGAGACGGCUAACUCUGUGCCAGCCGCCGCGGUAA